RNAcentral lists this long non-coding RNA (334 nucleotides) under Pan troglodytes (chimpanzee). RNAcentral's name for it is "long non-coding RNA NONPTRT007093". Lineage: Eukaryota; Metazoa; Chordata; Mammalia; Primates; Hominidae. The record is from RNAcentral.
ACCUUGAAAGUAAAAAGAAACAAUCUGGGGUAUUUUAGUUUUUUUAAAAGGCUCCUCUACAUUCCCUACAAAACUAUUACUGGUGGGUCUGGUGUAGGCGACAAUCAGAUUCCCCAAGGCAUGCUUACCUCUUGCUCUGUGAAGAGGAUGUCAGUAUAGCACAGCUGAAAAAAAAUUAACUGUUGGUGUGUGGAGGGAUUUUUUUAUUUUUACUUUUUUGGAGACAGAGUUUCGCUCUUGUUGCCCAGGCUGGAGUGCAAUGGCGCGAUCUCAGCUCACUGCAACCUCCUUUGCCUCCAGGGUUUAAGAGAUUCUCCUGCCUCAGCCUCCCAAG